GACGGAGGGUGCAAGCGUUGUUCGGAAUUAUUGGGCGUAAAGCGCACGUAGGCGGCUUUUCAAGUCCCAUGUGAAAGCCCACGGCUUAACCGUGGAAGUGCAUGGGAAACUGGAAAGCUUGAGUACUUAAGAGGAUCGCGGAAUUCCCGGUGUAGAGGUGAAAUUCGUAGAUAUCGGGAGGAACACCAGUGGCGAAGGCGGCGAUCUGGGAAGAUACUGACGCUGAGGUGCGAAAGCGUGGGGAGCAAACAGG
This 253-nucleotide ribosomal RNA is filed under the name uncultured bacterium. RNAcentral describes it as "partial 16S ribosomal RNA". It matches the Rfam family "Bacterial small subunit ribosomal RNA", at positions 524 to 776 of the family's 1533-position model. The record is from RNAcentral.